UACGUAGGGGGCAAGCGUUGUCCGGAUUUAUUGGGCGUAAAGCGCGCGCAGGCGGUCUAUUAAGUCUGAAGUGAAAGCCCACGGCUCAACCGUGGAGGGCCAUUGGAAACUGGUAGGCUUGAGUGCAGGAGAGGAGAGCGGAAUUCCCGGUGUAGCGGUGAAAUGCGUAGAUAUCAGGAGGAACACCGGUGGUGUAAACGGCUUUCUGGACCAUAACUGACGCUGAGGCACGAAAGCGUGGGGAGCGAACAGG
Molecule: ribosomal RNA, 253 nt
Filed under: uncultured bacterium
Lineage: Bacteria
Description: partial 16S ribosomal RNA
Rfam family: Bacterial small subunit ribosomal RNA
Source: RNAcentral